CCCCGCCAGAAGAUGGGUUCACGCUCACCGCUUUCCCGCCAAGCCGCGACACACGCCAGUAACAGAUAACACAUAUAGGCUGCCCUCCAAUUAGGGAGGGUGGGCUUCAACUGAAAAACAUGCGACGCGGCACAGAUGCAAUACUUAAUCAGAGGCAGCCACUGACCAACUGACGGAGUUGCAUUUCAAUACCAGAUCAAUGGGCUUAAAUUCAAGGACACUGAGGGAGACAGAAGCGAUUAAAGGAGAUAUGAUAAGAGGAGAUACGAGAGCCGUUCGUCAUCGAAUGGAUGAAAACUACACUAUCGACAAGAUGACCAGCAUGGCGUCAACAUGGUUGCUGCGACAAAGACACUAAUAUGAAAAUUAUAUUUGAGUGUUCAUCAAGUAAAUAAAUAUAUUAGGACAUCUUCUUCAAUUUUACAUUUGAAACAGAUUUUGAUCAUGUAAAUAUUUUCAAAUAGUUUACUGCACUGUAAAGUAUUGUAUAAUCUAUGUAUUUCAUUCGUUUCAAAUAUUCAAAAAUCCCAUCAUAUUAUUUAACAAAAUAAAAACGAAUGACGAGAUUGUAAGACAAGCAAGUCACAGAACUUAAAACAAUGACAAAUUUAAAUCGACCAACUUAGUGAAGAAAAUUAAAAUGGAUUUAAGUCAAGUUAAAUGUUUCAAAUUGUCGUUCAAACUGUAUCAUACUAUUAUUUAUAGGUAAUUAGAGCUAAAAAAUAUUAAAAAGAAAAAGGUUGUGUAAUCGAGGCAGGUUUGUAAAAUAAAACUUACUCACUUGGCAGUAUUAUAACUUCAUUAUGUUUCCAACAUUACCUGUAACAUAACAAUUGUAUGUUAGAAUAUAUUGGAUAUGUAAUGUUACAGUAAUAAUAAACACUGUACAAAUAACGAUAUGUAAAUUGUAAAACAAAUAUCAGGA
Molecule: long non-coding RNA, 925 nt
Organism: Macrosteles quadrilineatus (aster leafhopper)
Lineage: Eukaryota; Metazoa; Arthropoda; Insecta; Hemiptera; Cicadellidae
Exons: 5
Source: RefSeq, a predicted model, not a curated record